Triplophysa rosa is the source of this 118-nucleotide small nuclear RNA. RefSeq annotates it as U5 spliceosomal RNA. The record is from RefSeq and is a predicted model, not a curated record. The transcript has a single exon. Lineage: Eukaryota; Metazoa; Chordata; Actinopteri; Cypriniformes; Nemacheilidae.
UAGCUCGAGUUUCUCUUGAUCUACACAUUAAAACUUUUGCCUUUUACUAAAGAUUUCCGUGGGGUGAAAUCACUGUGAGUUCAAUGUGCUUUUGGACGGCUCCGCUCACAGCGGGCCU